RNAcentral lists this ribosomal RNA (278 nucleotides) under unidentified marine bacterioplankton. Its description in RNAcentral is "partial 16S ribosomal RNA". It matches the Rfam family "Bacterial small subunit ribosomal RNA", at positions 70 to 339 of the family's 1533-position model. The record is from RNAcentral.
AACGGAUUCUUCGGAAUCUUAUUAAACUGGCGAACGGGUGAGUAACGCGUAGACAACUUGCCCAAAGAUUUGGGAUAACAUCGAGAAAUUGAUGCUAAUACCGAAUAAUAUCACGAGAACCCCGGUUUUUGUGAUCAAAGGUGGCUUCGGCUACCGUCUUUGGAUGGGUCUGCGUCUGAUUAGCUUGUUGGUGGGGUAAAGGCUCACCAAGGCGACGAUCCGUAGCUGGUUUGAGAGGAUGAUCAGCCACACUGGGACUGAGACACGGCCCAGACUCC